GGCUCGGUGGUGUAGUUGGUUAUCACGUCAGUCUCACAUUGCACACAGUCGUGUGAGUUCACUGAAGGUCCCGAGUUCGAACCUCGGCUGAGUCA
RNAcentral lists this transfer RNA (95 nucleotides) under Corynespora cassiicola Philippines. RNAcentral's name for it is "tRNA-Val". The record is from RNAcentral. Lineage: Eukaryota; Fungi; Ascomycota; Dothideomycetes; Pleosporales; Corynesporascaceae.